AACACAUCUUAAACCUGAAAUCGUCACCAGACCACCUGACGCUUGCCUGAAGGCUGUUCAGCCCUGGCAGCUAUAACCAUUCCCAGCAGUCAGCUUGGUGCAGCAAGCAUUUCUUGCUGUAAAUGAAGCAGUUCACAUUUGCUUGCAAUUUAAAAGAUUACAACCUGACACAACAGGCCUGAAGUGAGGUCUUUCACAUACACAAAUCUAGUAAGUGUUUGAAAUUAAAGCAGACCACACUGGUAACGCAAAUACUGGAAGCCUUAACAUUUCAUAUACAAGAUGUCAACAUGCAGGUAGAAAAAAAAAAGGUUAAGUAAAAAAGAAAGAAAGAAAGAAAGAAAGAAAGAAAGAAAGAAAGAAAGAAAGAAAGAAAGAAAGAAAGAAAGAAAAGCUCAAAUUCUGUAGCAUUUAUAAACCAAGUGUGGACCUCUGUGUGGCUUAUCAUGGGACAAAGUCCACCUCAAAAAUGGCCACACAGAUGUAAACACACAGGUGCAUGGUGCUAACUGUUUGGAUCACAAAAUUGAGGAAGCUAAUGUGUUAACCUGCUUACAUCUACACAAAAAUGAAAAAUUUAUAAUAAAAAUGUAAACAAUAUAUCACUGGGUACCUGGAAACCGUAUUGACUUUUUUUUACGUUCUGAAACCGACUGCAACUUGUGAUGACUAAAUGGUUGCCCAGAGUUUGAGUGUGGCACACUCACAACCACUCCUGAUCGCAAGGCGAUUGCACAGGUUGCCUGAUAAGAGGCAUUUUUUCUAAAGUAGACUGACAGCAGUCACUCGCAGAGAGAGAUUGUUGAAGCAAAUAAUUGCUAAGUUAUCAAAGGGGACAGACUGCCAACAUGUUGUCAUCAGUCUGAAUGAGUCUUUGUCAAUGACCAACGCCAGUGUCACAAAUGAUUUAGCAGACUGACUUUAUCUUGUGGGAAGUUUUAGCAGCAGUUUAGGCGUGCUUGACAAUCUCAUUUUGCAGCCAAAAAACAGAAUAUAGUAAAAAAUAUAAUUUGCCGUUGAAAAGGUGGUGUUAAAUCACAAAACAUCUUUUUCUUCUGAUUAUCCACUUCAGGGUUGCGGUGGACUGAAGCCUAUCCCA
This is a long non-coding RNA of Astatotilapia calliptera (eastern happy), 1099 nucleotides long. The record is from Ensembl. Lineage: Eukaryota; Metazoa; Chordata; Actinopteri; Cichliformes; Cichlidae.